This 1431-nucleotide long non-coding RNA is filed under the name Selaginella moellendorffii. RNAcentral's name for it is "long non-coding RNA (SMOE_LNC001779)". The record is from RNAcentral. Lineage: Eukaryota; Viridiplantae; Streptophyta; Lycopodiopsida; Selaginellales; Selaginellaceae.
CCGCUUUAUUCCAUCCAGGGUUCUUGGGCUAGGGUUUUGGGGAGCUCCGCUAUGAUCUGCGGCACACCCUAGCAUCCGUGAAGACUAAACCAGGUUUGCACAGGAAUCCUCUCUCCGGCGCGCAAUGUCUGUCCUCCUUGCACAGGCACAGGCCCUCGAGCGCGCAGUAGUCGCGGUAGACCGAGGCGUUUUGCUUGAUCCCGAGCACGGCGUCGGACCACUCGCUGGAGAAGUAUCCGUCGGGAUCGUAACGCUGGCGGACCUCGAGGAAUUUGGCCAGGUUUGUGACUCGAGAGCCCAUGUCCUCGAACAUCGCGUUUUUGUUCUUCCCCCAGUGUGGCCUGCCUUUGUAUUUCUUGAGCAGCAUUUGCUCGAUCUCAUCCGUCGCGUCCUGGUCCAGCCGGGGCGUGUUUUGCCGGCGGUCUCUGAAGUAGAGCAGCUCGAAUGCAACUGAGUCCUCGGGCUCGGCGAGGUAGGCCGUGGAUCCUUUGAUGAAUCUGAGCUGUGCUCCGCCAUAGAUAUUUGCACCGCAGAGCUUGGUUGGGUCCAUUCCAUCGCGGAUCUUCUUUAUGUCUUGGAUGGCUUCGUUGAUCCUGGAGAGUGGGAUUGCUAGGGAUGUCUGGAAGUAGAAUUGUCCAGGAACGUCGGGGUCCCAGUAGCAUGUUAGCCUCUCCCCGGAUGCUGAUCGUGUGUUGUUUAGUGCAGUGUUUUGGCAGCCUCCAGCGGUUUGGAGCUGGUGAUUAAAUCCCACGACUGGAUAUCCGCGAAAGGUAUUGCUCCUGUCAUUCACCAGGCCAUCUCCGCUCGAGACUCGGUUCUCAACUCCGUUUAGUGAUUGUUGGCAGACGAGGGAAGCGUUCAUCUGGGACAUGAAGUUCUCCUCUACGUAAAAGAAUCACGAUUUCAGCGUAAGGUGAGAACUCUGAUUUUUAUGAGAUGUUGGAGCUUACCUCGGACUCUAGACUGUCUUACGUUUGUCUCUGGAGCAGGAUCAUUGCCAGCGUUCCUUCCCUCGCCAGGGGUACUUGCCGAGACCUUGUUGUCUACCCUCAGCAGGAUCUUCUUCUGAGAGAUGUACCAGUUGAUAUCCCCAAACGCAUACCUGCUUGCGAAUCCAGCAACGUCAUUCUCGAGGGUGCUGUCGUCGCGGGCCUGCUUGGUGAUGGAGCGCUUGAACAUCGGCUCCACGUCGAGCGUGACCGUGGAUAUGGCUCCAAGGACGCCAAUAGACAGCUUGGCUGCAUUCAGGUCCGGGCUUGAUUUCCCAAGUUUGAUGACUUUGGCAUAACCUUGCUCCCUUGAUGCAGGAACGACGAUAGUGAUUCCGGAGACAUAGUCAUGCACUGCUCCACCUUUCCCAAGCAGACUGCUGCCGUGCGAGCCCGUGCUUAUUACUCCGGCGAUUGAUAGACCGUUGAAGUAAGGCGUACA